Molecule: ribosomal RNA, 523 nt
Filed under: uncultured bacterium
Lineage: Bacteria
Description: bacterial SSU rRNA
Rfam family: Bacterial small subunit ribosomal RNA
Source: RNAcentral
UGGGGAAUCUUGGACAAUGGGCGAAAGCCUGAUCCAGCGACGCCGCGUGACCGAUGAAGCUCUUCGGAGUGUAAAGGUCUUUCAGCGGGGAAAAUUAUGAUGGUACCCGCAGAAGCAGCUGCGGCUAACUACGUGCCAGCAGCCGCGGUAAUACGUAGGCAGCAAGCGUUGUUCGGAAUUACUGGGCGUAAAGCGAGUGUAGGCGGUCUGCCAAGUCUGCCGUGAAAUCUCCCGGCUCAACUGGGAGGGUGCGGUGGAAACUGGCAGGCUAGAGUGCGGAAGGGGAGAGUGGAAUUCCUGGUGUAGCGGUGAAAUGCGUAGAUAUCAGGAGGAACACCGGCGGUGAAGACGGCUCUCUGGACCGCUACUGACGCUGAGACUCGAAAGCGUGGGGAGCAAACAGGAUUAGAUACCCUGGUAGUCCACGCCCUAAACGAUGCAUACUUGGUGUGGGCUCUUCACUGAGUCCGUGCCGGAGCUAACGCGUUAAGUAUGCCGCCUGGGGAGUACGGUCGCAAGGCUG